AUCAGGUGGUUUGGGCAACUAGAACACAAAUUCUUGAAUCUCUCCUAGUAUUCAUAGAGACUCUCCCUAGACUGUUGCUUGAUUCUAAAAAUCUCCUUUCUUAUGGU
Vigna unguiculata (cowpea) is the source of this 107-nucleotide small nucleolar RNA. The record is from RefSeq and is a predicted model, not a curated record. Lineage: Eukaryota; Viridiplantae; Streptophyta; Magnoliopsida; Fabales; Fabaceae.